UUCGAAAAGAAGUGGGAAGAUUUGAGAAAGAACGAGUGAAGGAUUUUAAAACCGUUAUCAUCAAGUACUUAGAAUCACUAGUUCAAACACAACAACAGGUAAGCCAUUUUUGUUUAUAACUUAAACUUCUAGAAUUUGUUUUUGGUAUACUUUCUUAUUUUAAAAAGAUGAUUAAUGAACUGGGCAUUUAAACUCAAGAAUAAGAAAUGGAAGACAGAAAGCCAGUGAUGGUAAAGGAUAAAGGGGUAAACUAAUUGGAAACUAUCUCAGGGUUUUUUUUUUUUUUUUUUUGCCUCUGCUUAACACUAAGGCAGAGAUAGACUUUUCCCAGUUUUAGGCCAUCAGAAACCUCAUGGGCAACUUUCCCCUUUCACUGUCUUUCUAGUUUGUUUUCCUUGUUGGUCAGACCUGUUUGAGUAAAUUCUCAUAGUAAGUUCUUCUCUUCCAUAACAAAUAGAACUUAAGCUAAACACUUUUUCAGAAUUAAAAAAAAAACUGUAC
Molecule: small RNA, 501 nt
Filed under: Pongo abelii (Sumatran orangutan)
Lineage: Eukaryota; Metazoa; Chordata; Mammalia; Primates; Hominidae
Description: retained intron
Source: RNAcentral